GGGGGGACCUUAUAUUUCUAUACAGGCUAAGCAUGCCAUAGCAUUUGGGACAUGCUUAAGCAGGGGUCUCCAACCCUUCUCCUGGAGAGCUACUGUCCUGCAGAUUACAGCUCCAACCCCAGUCCAACACACCUGAACCAGCUAAUCAAGGUGUUCAGGGCUACUUGAUUAUUACAGACAGGUGUGUUGGAGCAGGGUUGGAACUGAAGUCUGCAGGAUGGUAGCUCUCCAGGAGCAGGGUUGGAGAUUCCUGUGCUAAAGGCAAUAAACAUGUUACGUGGUUUGAACUGAAUUGGAUUGGGGUUGACUUGGCCGUCCACUCCAGCCUCAUGAAUAAUUGAGAGCGAAUGAAAGAAGAAGCUCUCAUAAAUAAACACAGGUCUGCUGCUCUCGCUGACUGGACCCGAGCGUGGUGUUACUGUGCAGGAAACACAAGAAGACGGGGCCCACAGUCUCCCAAAUUAAGCCUUUGAGACCGAGUUAAUGCACUGUAUAUCAUUACCAUACGGAAGCACACCAGCAGUGAGGUGCUGUUAGCUGGGGAGACUCUUCAUGUGUCACUCAUGAGGAAAAGAGCAUGCCUUCAAGGAGGAAUUUCAGAUUGUGCCAUGCUGCCUGACCUCUUCUCUUGGGCCACUUGAAAAACGUGUCAGUCCCUUUGUAGGAACACCUGUGCCUGAUGUCCGACAAGAAUGCAAGCACCAAAAAAGAAAGCAAAAGAAAAGGCCUGCCAUCAAAGACCGUUUUCAUGGAUGGAUAAUUACAUUUGCCUUCAUUUUUUUGGCAAACGCUUUAUGUUUACCAUUCUCACCCAUCAAAAAAAACAAAAAAAACAAUCACAAGACCUGGUGAAUCUCACCCCCUCUCCCUUUAAGACGUCAAGGGGGAGAUCAAACCGAUCCAAGCUAAGGAAAACCCCUCCUUAAAUUCUUAUUUACCAAUCAGUCUCAGCUUUAAUAAAGCUCUAAGCUAUGCCAACAAACACAGACCAAGAAGAAGAAGGAACGGAAAGUGAGAAAGAGAGUGUGAGAGGUCAUGCCAAAACUGCUACGUGUUUGUUCUUCUCCCGCGAGGAAAUCUGGGAAAGCCGAAAAUAUCCCAGAGGCUCCCACUGUUAUUGUAAGGCUAGAGGUGGGUGAUGCUGAAACCCAGGAGGAGUGCUCAUGGAAUGGGAAUGGACGGGCUUUGUUUGGAUAAUUGUGUUUUUAGAUUACAC
Molecule: long non-coding RNA, 1216 nt
Organism: Cyprinus carpio carpio
Lineage: Eukaryota; Metazoa; Chordata; Actinopteri; Cypriniformes; Cyprinidae
Source: Ensembl